AUUGAACGCUGGCGGCAUGCUUUACACAUGCAAGUCGAACGGCAGCGCGGGCUUCGGCCUGGCGGCGAGUGGCGAACGGGUGAGUAAUGCAUCGGAACGUGCCCAGUAGUGGGGGAUAGCCCGGCGAAAGCCGGAUUAAUACCGCAUACGACCUGAGGGUGAAAGCGGGGGACCGAAGGGCCUCGCGCUAUGGGAGCGGCCGAUGUCGGAUUAGCCAGUUGGUGGGGUAAAGGCUUACCAAGGCGACGAUCCGUAGCUGGUCUGAGAGGACGAUCAGCCACGCUAGAACGGAGACCCCGUCCCGGGGCCUACGGGAGGCCCCAGUCUGGCACGGUGGACAGUGGGCGCCAGCAUGCUCCAGCGCUGCCGCGCCUGUGGAGACGGCCCUGGGUUUGGAAAGAGUGUUAUGGCGGGCGAAAGGGCUGUCGCCUACUACCAGGCUGGUCUGACGGUAGCGGGAAAAGAAGCACCGGCUAACUUCGUG
This 484-nucleotide ribosomal RNA is filed under the name uncultured bacterium. RNAcentral's name for it is "partial 16S ribosomal RNA". It matches the Rfam family "Bacterial small subunit ribosomal RNA", at positions 28 to 507 of the family's 1533-position model. The record is from RNAcentral.